GACGAACGCUGGCGGCGUGCUUAACACAUGCAAGUCGAACGGAAAGGCCCCCACCUUGGUGGGGGUGCUCGAGUGGCGAACGGGUGAGUAACACGUGGGUGAUCUGCCCUGUACUUCGGGAUAAGCUUGGGAAACUGGGUCUAAUACCGGAUAGGACCAUGGUUUAGUGUCUCAUGGUGGAAAGAUUAUUGUUUUGGUGCAGGAUGAGCUCGCGGCCUAUCAGCUUGUUGGUGGGGUAAUGGCCUACCAAGGCGUCGACGGGUAGCCGGCCUGAGAGGGUGGACGGCCACAUUGGGACUGAGAUACGGCCCAGACUCCUACGGGAGGCAGCAGGAGGGAAUAUUGCACAAUGGGCGCAAGCCUGAUGCAGCGACGCCGCGUGGGGGAUGACGGCCUUCGGGUUGUAAACUCCUUUCGUUAGGGACGAAGCCGCACUUUUUUUGGGUGUGGUGACGGUACCUUUGUUAAGAAGCACCGGCUAACUACGUG
RNAcentral lists this ribosomal RNA (489 nucleotides) under uncultured bacterium. RNAcentral's name for it is "partial 16S ribosomal RNA". It matches the Rfam family "Bacterial small subunit ribosomal RNA", at positions 28 to 507 of the family's 1533-position model. The record is from RNAcentral.